Molecule: ribosomal RNA, 1912 nt
Rfam family: Eukaryotic large subunit ribosomal RNA (bases 525-1912)
UUUCCGUAGGUGAACCUGCGGAAGGAUCAUUAUCGAAAAACAUCCUCCUGUGCUGUGCGUCUCCCGCACGCUCGGAGUUGUUAUUUCCACACACCAGUGCACCUUCGGGCUGCCUCCCCUCGCGGGGUCGGCGCUCGCCUUUUCCAUUAACCCAAUGUAUCUGAAUGUCUCUGUAUAUCUAAUACAAUACAACUUUCAACAACGGAUCUCUUGGCUCUCGCAUCGAUGAAGAACGCAGCGAAAUGCGAUAAGUAAUGUGAAUUGCAGAAUUCAGUGAAUCAUCGAAUCUUUGAACGCACCUUGCGCUCCUUGGCAUUCCAAGGAGCAUGCCUGUUUGAGUGUCACGUGAAUAUCUCACUCCUCUUAGGGGGAGUGGACUUGGACCGUGCCGUCGACCGGGUCGACGGCUCGUCUCGAAAUGCAUUAGCCUGCAGAGUUUCGCUUGGCCGCUGGUGUGAUAAUUGUCUACGCCGUUGCGCCGGGCGAGCCGCUCUGGGCUCACAAUGACCUAUUCUUUAACGCUCUGGCCUCAAAUCAGGUAGGACUACCCGCUGAACUUAAGCAUAUCAAUAAGCGGAGGAAAAGAAACUAACAAGGAUUCCCCUAGUAACGGCGAGUGAAGCGGGAAAAGCUCAAAUUUGAAAUCUGGCGGUCUCAGGCCGUCCGAGUUGUAGUCUAGAGAGGCGUCUUCCGUGCCGGACCGUGUACAAGUCCCUUGGGAUAGGGCGUCAUAGAGGGUGAGAAUCCCGUCCAUGACACGGACUGCCGGUGCUCUGUGAUGCGCCUUCAAAGAGUCGAGUUGUUUGGGAAUGCAGCUCAAAAUGGGUGGUAAAUUCCAUCUAAAGCUAAAUACAGGCGAGAGACCGAUAGCGAACAAGUACCGUGAGGGAAAGAUGAAAAGCACUUUGGAAAGAGAGUUAAACAGUACGUGAAAUUGUUGAAAGGGAAACGCUUGGAGUCAGUCGCGUCCGUCGAGACUCAGCCGGGCUGCUGCCCGGCGCACUUCUCGGUGGAUGGGCCAGCAUCGAUUUCGGCUGCCGGAAAAGGGCGAGGGGAAGGUGGCACCUCCGGGUGUGUUAUAGCCCCUCGUCGUAUACGGUGGCUGGGAUCGAGGUUCGCAGCACGCCUUUAUGGUCGGGGUUCGCCCACGCCACGUGCUUAGGAUGCUGGCGUAAUGGCUUUAAACGACCCGUCUUGAAACACGGACCAAGGAGUCUAACAUGCCUGCGAGUGUUUGGGUGGAAAACCCAGGCGCGGAAUGAAAGUGAAAGGUUGGGACUCCCCUAAACAAGGAGGCACCGACGCCCGAUCCUGACCUUCUGUGACGGAUUUGAGGCAGAGCAUGUAUGUUGGGACCCGAAAGAUGGUGAACUAUGCCUGAAUAGGGCGAAGCCAGAGGAAACUCUGGUGGAGGCUCGUAGCGAUUCUGACGUGCAAAUCGAUCGUCAAAUUUGGGUAUAGGGGCGAAAGACUAAUCGAACCAUCUAGUAGCUGGUUCCUGCCGAAGUUUCCCUCAGGAUAGCAGAAGCUCACAUCAGUUUUAUGUGGUAAAGCGAAUGAUUAGAGGCCUUGUGGGUUGAAACAACCUUAACCUAUUCUCAAACUUUAAAUAUGUAAGAUCGGGCCGUCUCUUGAUUGGACCGCCUGGCGAAUGAGAGUUUCUAGUGGGCCAUUUUUGGUAAGCAGAACUGGCGAUGCGGGAUGAACCCGAUCGCGAGGUUAAGGUGCCGGAAUGCACGCUCAUCAGACACCACAAAAGGUGUUAGUUCAUCUAGACAGCAAGACGGUGGCCAUGGAAGUCGGACCCCGCUAAAGAGUGUGUAACAACUCACCUGCCGAAUGACUACCCCUGAAAAUGGAUGGCGCUCAAGCGUGCUACCCAUACCUCGCCGUCGGCGUUGAAAUCACCGCC